GUUAAAGCGUUGAUAAGGAUUAGUACAUUCAAUUCUCUGUUCAGAGAGCCGGUGGUAGGUGUGAAUCGGUCUGAGAUUGUCUGGAAUCCACCUUUGAGCAGAGAAUGAACGUUAUAUGUGAAAUUCUCUCGACUAGCAAUCGUUAUUUGCUAAAGUGGUAUGUUGAUUCAACAUGCAACAAGGGUGGCAACGCGGGUGCUCUCGUCCCUUCU
This 212-nucleotide non-coding RNA is filed under the name Halalkalibacter akibai. RNAcentral's name for it is "Bacillus akibai T-box sequence". It matches the Rfam family "T-box leader". From Rfam's summary of the family: Uncharged tRNA acts as the effector for transcription antitermination of genes in the T-box leader family. Lineage: Bacteria; Bacillati; Bacillota; Bacilli; Caryophanales; Bacillaceae. The record is from RNAcentral.